RNAcentral lists this ribosomal RNA (89 nucleotides) under Citrobacter freundii. Its description in RNAcentral is "partial 23S ribosomal RNA". The stretch from base 1 to 77 matches the Rfam family "Bacterial large subunit ribosomal RNA", at positions 2849 to 2925 of the family's 2925-position model. RNAcentral also lists the same sequence under 1 other name. The record is from RNAcentral. Lineage: Bacteria; Pseudomonadati; Pseudomonadota; Gammaproteobacteria; Enterobacterales; Enterobacteriaceae.
GACGUUGAUAGGUCGGGUGUGUAAGUGUAGCGAUACAUUGAGCUAACCGAUACUAAUGAACCGUGAGGCUUAACCUUACAACGCCGAAG